CAGCAGCCACGGUAAUACGUAGGGUGCGAGCGUUAAUCGGAAUUACUGGGCGUAAAGCGUGCGCAGGCGGUUCGUUAAGACAGAUGUGAAAUCCCCGGGCUUAACCUGGGAACUGCAUUUGUGACUGGCGAGCUAGAGUAUGGCAGAGGGGGGUAGAAUUCCACGUGUAGCAGUGAAAUGCGUAGAGAUGUUGAGGAAUACCGAUGGCGAAGGCAGCCCCCUGGGCCAAUACUGACGCUCAUGCACGAAAGCGUGGGGAGCAAACAGGAUUAGAUACCCCCGUAGUCCCUGUCUCUUAUAC
This 301-nucleotide ribosomal RNA is filed under the name uncultured bacterium. Its description in RNAcentral is "partial 16S ribosomal RNA". It matches the Rfam family "Bacterial small subunit ribosomal RNA", at positions 509 to 807 of the family's 1533-position model. The record is from RNAcentral.